AGAGUUUGAUUAGGGCUCAGAUUGAACGCUGGCGGCAGGCUUAACACAUGCAAGUCGAGCGGCAGCGGAAAGAAGCUUGCUUCUUUGCCGGCGAGCGGCGGACGGGUGAGUAAUGUCUGGGGAUCUGCCCGAUGGAGGGGGAUAACUACUGGAAACGGUAGCUAAUACCGCAUAAUGUCGCAAGACCAAAGUGGGGGACCUUCGGGCCUCACACCAUCGGAUGAACCCAGAUGGGAUUAGCUAGUAGGUGGGGUAAUGGCUCACCUAGGCGACGAUCCCUAGCUGGUCUGAGAGGAUGACCAGCCACACUGGAACUGAGACACGGUCCAGACUCCUACGGGAGGCAGCAGUGGGGAAUAUUGCACAAUAGGGGAAACCCUGAUGCAGCCAUGCCGCGUGUGUGAAGAAGGCCUUCGGGUUGUAAAGCACUUUCAGCGGGGAGGAAGGCAAUGGCGUUAAUAGUGUCAUUGAUUGACGUUACCCGCAGAAGAAGCACCGGCUAACUCCGUGCCAGCAGCCGCGGUAAUACGGAGGGUGCGAGCGUUAAUCGGAAUUACUGGGCGUAAAGCGUACGCAGGCGGUCUGUUAAGUCAGAUGUGAAAUCCCCGGGCUUAACCUGGGAACUGCAUUUGAAACUGGCAGGCUAGAGUCUCGUAGAGGGGGGUAGAAUUCCAGGUGUAGCGGUGAAAUGCGUAGAGAUCUGGAGGAAUACCGGUGGCGAAGGCGGCCCCCUGGACGAAGACUGACGCUCAGGUACGAAAGCGUGGGGAGCAAACAGGAUUAGAUACCCUGGUAGUCCACGCUGUAAACGAUGUCGAUUUGAAGGUUGUGGUCUUGAGCCGUGGCUUUCGGAGCUAACGCGUUAAAUCGACCGCCUGGGGAGUACGGCCGCAAGGUUAAAACUCAAAUGAAUUGACGGGGGCCCGCACAAGCGGUGGAGCAUGUGGUUUAAUUCGAUG
RNAcentral lists this ribosomal RNA (959 nucleotides) under uncultured bacterium. RNAcentral describes it as "bacterial SSU rRNA". It matches the Rfam family "Bacterial small subunit ribosomal RNA", at positions 8 to 956 of the family's 1533-position model. The record is from RNAcentral.